GGACCUCCACCUCCUUGCUGUUGAUUGAGGUCUCAAAUUGAAGGUUAGGUACUGUGGGGUUUUGGUUGGUGGUCAGUAAUUGCAUCCGGGCAGAAAGGUAGAUUCUAGCAGCUCAUCCGGCAGGACCUCUUUCCGGCAGCCCUCUUGUUGACUGAGCUUGAGGAUUUUGAUUCGAGACAGACGUCUUGACGUUGGAUUGUUGAGAUUGUACCUUCUAUUUGAGGCGGGUACCCUUUGACUUAUCUUUUGAUACUGUCUUAUGAUAUGUAUAGUUUAUAUAUAGUUACUAGUGAUAGAUGGUAGAUUUAUUUCUU
Long non-coding RNA from Zingiber officinale, 314 nucleotides. RefSeq lists it as uncharacterized. NCBI's taxonomy places the organism in Eukaryota, Viridiplantae, Streptophyta, Magnoliopsida, Zingiberales, Zingiberaceae. The record is from RefSeq and is a predicted model, not a curated record. The transcript has 3 exons.